This is a non-coding RNA of Nicotiana tabacum (common tobacco), 902 nucleotides long. The record is from RefSeq and is a predicted model, not a curated record. Lineage: Eukaryota; Viridiplantae; Streptophyta; Magnoliopsida; Solanales; Solanaceae.
UACUUUUUUCUGUUUCUGGAAGAUCUUCUAAUUUGUAUUUUUAACCAGAUUGUUGCUAGUAGGGUUUUAUUUCCACGCCCACAAGGCUCUGUAUGUGCUCUCUCUCCCGUGUAUCUGUAUAUAUAUUAUGUGAAGUCAUAUCUGGAUCAUUAUAUAUAUCUUAUCAAAUCAGCCACCUCUUAAUCCCAAAUCAGGCUGCAGGCAUAUCAGAAAUCAAAUGAUUUGCGGGCAUGUGAUUUGAAUGAAGCUGGACAAAAAUAGUGGAAGAAGUCAUUUACUUGUUUGUAUGCCUGUAAAAUCUUUGUGGAAUAUAUGCUUGAGUUUCUAAAACUUAAUUAAAUAAGUGCUUUUCAAGCAAUCGUCUUAUUUAUAUCUAUGAUAUGUUAACAGUGAAAAUAUCAGCAAUGCCAAUGAAGAAGACUCCAAAGAGGAGCUUCCCAAGAUAGGACACAAGCUACUAUUUUGUGCUUGCUCCAUUUCUCUCUCUGCUGAAGACUUUCAAAGUCUAAGCAUUGGGGAAGAUCAUAUGGAUGAGAAUUCUACUAGAGAAGAUAUCGAGGAGGAUAAAGUUUAUGAGGAGUCAAUAAGAGAAGCUUCCGAGAAUCAGGCAGAGUCUGAAACGACUUCCAAGCCUAGCAGUUCAGAUUCUGAUGGUUAGCAAGGAUUAAUUAAACGACUAAAGAAAGCGCCGUCCAUACAUUUGCAUAUGUUCCGUCCUAGCAUGCCUUUGCUACCUUCACUGCCUUCCAUAAAGACGCUAUCCAAAAGAAAAAGUAGGAGUGUGUGGCCGAGCAUACCAUUGCUGCCUGCUCCCCAUCUGGAUACUAAUUUGCAAUACUUCUUUGAAAAUAAGUGGAAGAGUUUCUCCCUUUCAGAACUUCAUCAAGCUACCGACAACUUUA